GGACUCGCGGCCUAUCAGCUUGUUGGUGAGGUAAUGGCUCACCAAGGCGACGACGGGUAGCCGGCCUGAGAGGGUGACCGGCCACACUGGGACUGAGACACGGCCCAGACUCCUACGGGAGGCAGCAGUGGGGAAUAUUGCACAAUGGGCGCAAGCCUGAUGCAGCGACGCCGCGUGAGGGAUGACGGCCUUCGGGUUGUAAACCUCUUUCAGUAGGGAAGAAGCGAAAGUGACGGUACCUGCAGAAGAAGCGCCGGCUAACUACGUGCCAGCAGCCGCGGUAAUACGUAGGGCGCAAGCGUUAUCCGGAAUUAUUGGGCGUAAAGAGCUCGUAGGCGGUUUGUCGCGUCUGCCGUGAAAGUCCGAGGCUCAACUCCGGAUCUGCGGUGGGUACGGGCAGACUAGAGUGAUGUAGGGGAGACUGGAAUUCCUGGUGUAGCGGUGAAAUGCGCAGAUAUCAGGAGGAACACCGAUGGCGAAGGCAGAUCUCUGGGCCUUAACUGACGCUGAGGAGCGAAAGCAUGGGGAGCGAACAGGAUUAGAUACCCUGGUAGUCCAUGCCGUAAACGUUGGGAACUAGGUGUGGGGGACAUUCCACGUUUUCCGCGCCGAGCUAACGCAUUAAGUGCCCCGCCUGGGGAGUACGGCCGCAAGGCUAAAACUCAAAGGAAUUGACGGGGGCCCGCACAAGCGGCGGAGCAUGCGGAUUAAUUCGAUGCAACGCGAAGAACCUUACCAAGGCUUGACAUGGGCCGGACCGGGCUGGAAACAGUCCUUCCCCUUUGGGGCCGGUUCACAGGUGGUGCAUGGUUGUCGUCAGCUCGUGUCGUGAGAUGUUGGGUUAAGUCCCGCAACGAGCGCAACCCUCGUUCCAUGUUGCCAGCGCGUAAUGGCGGGGACUCAUGGGAGACUGCCGGGGUCAACUCGGAGGAAGGUGGGGACGACGUCAAAUCAUCAUGCCCCUUAUGUCUUGGGCUUCACGCAUGCUACAAUGGCCGGUACAAAGGGUUGCGAUACUGUGAGGUGGAGCUAAUCCCAAAAAGCCGGUCUCAGUUCGGAUUGGGGUCUGCAACUCGACCCCAUGAAGUCGGAGUCGCUAGUAAUCGCAGAUCAGCAACGCUGCGGUGAAUACGUUCCCGGGCCUUGUACACACCGCCCGUCAAGUCACGAAAGUUGGUAACACCCGAAGCCGGUGGCCUAACCCCUUGUGGGAGGGAGCUGUCGAAGGUGGGACUGGCGAU
This 1241-nucleotide ribosomal RNA is filed under the name Arthrobacter sp. RNAcentral's name for it is "bacterial SSU rRNA". It matches the Rfam family "Bacterial small subunit ribosomal RNA", at positions 227 to 1475 of the family's 1533-position model. The record is from RNAcentral. Lineage: Bacteria; Bacillati; Actinomycetota; Actinomycetes; Micrococcales; Micrococcaceae.